AGUGGAUCGAAACAAUUCCAACUCAGCCCAAUAAGAAUUAUUGAUUAUCUAGAUAAUUCUCAUGAGUCUCACAAUCUACCAGUGACACCUAGCAGCAUGUAGUGGCAUUCUAGUAAAAUGAAAUACUGAAUCUCUUGAUACAGUUACCAUAUGAUAUAGUCCUUCUAUCAUGAGUCCCGACUAGAUGGAGGUCAUGGAAUAACUCGUUAAACCCCAUCGUCUGUCAUAUGUCAAAUUUAUUCGACUCGAGUUUCUAAUAUCGAAAAUUCUUUUCCACUAUUAACUCUGUCCUAGCAAAAAUCUUCUAAACUCGGUCUCAUAAAUCACAUAGGACAAACGCCCCUAUCUAUCAAGGAAGAUAGAUUCUCUAUAGAUGCACACCUUAUUCCUAC
Molecule: long non-coding RNA, 392 nt
Filed under: Ananas comosus (pineapple)
Lineage: Eukaryota; Viridiplantae; Streptophyta; Magnoliopsida; Poales; Bromeliaceae
Description: long non-coding RNA (ACOM_LNC022241)
Source: RNAcentral